AUUGAACGCUGGCGGCAUGCUUUACACAUGCAAGUCGAACGGCAGCGCGGGCUUCGUCCUGGCGGCGAGUGGCGAACGGGUGAGUAAUGCAUCGGAACGUGCCCAGUAGUGGGGGAUAGCCCGGCGAAAGCCGGAUUAAUACCGCAUACGACCUGAGGGUGAAAGCGGGGGACCGAAAGGCCUCGCGCUAUUGGAGCGGCCGAUGUCGGAUUAGCUAGUUGGUGGGGUAAAGGCUUACCAAGGCGACGAUCCGUAGCUGGUCUGAGAGGACGACCAGCCACACUGGGACUGAGACACGGCCCAGACUCCUACGGGAGGCAGCAGUGGGGAAUUUUGGACAAUGGGGGCAACCCUGAUCCAGCCAUGCCGCGUGCGGGAAGAAGGCCUUCGGGUUGUAAACCGCUUUUGUUCGGGAAGAAAUCCUCUGGGCUAAUACCCCGGGGGGAUGACGGUACCGGUAGAAUAAGCACCGGCUAACUACGUG
Molecule: ribosomal RNA, 484 nt
Filed under: uncultured bacterium
Lineage: Bacteria
Description: partial 16S ribosomal RNA
Rfam family: Bacterial small subunit ribosomal RNA
Source: RNAcentral